AGUCUCUGUCCCAUGGGGCUGUGGGGGUCCCUUUUCUCCUCAGCCAGGGCUGAAGGCCAAGAUAAGCCCUCAAGGAUCAUCAUCUAUAAGCUGGGCAGCCUUGUUUUCCUACCUCAGACAUUU
This is a non-coding RNA of Cynocephalus volans (Philippine flying lemur), 123 nucleotides long. Lineage: Eukaryota; Metazoa; Chordata; Mammalia; Dermoptera; Cynocephalidae. The record is from RefSeq and is a predicted model, not a curated record.